AUUGAACGCUGGCGGCAUGCUUUACACAUGCAAGUCGAACGGCAGCGCGGGCUUCGGCCUGGCGGCGAGUGGCGAACGGGUGAGUAAUGCAUCGGAACGUGCCCAGUAGUGGGGGAUAGCCCGGCGAAAGUCGGAUUAAUACCGCAUACGACCUGAGGGUGAAAGCGGGGGACCGAAAGGCCUCGCGCUAUUGGAGCGGCCGAUGUCGGAUUAGCUAGUUGGUGGGGUAAAGGCUUACCAAGGCGACGAUCCGUAGCUGGUCUGAGAGGACGACCAGCCACACUGGGACUGAGACACGGCCCAGACUCCUACGGGAGGCAGCAGUGGGGAAUUUUGGACAAUGGGGGCAACCCUGAUCCAGCCAUGCCGCGUGCGGGAAGAAGGCCUUCGGGUUGUAAACCGCUUUUGUUCGGGAAGAAAUCCUCUGGGCUAAUACCCCGGGGGGAUGACGGUACCGGAAGAAUAAGCACCGGCUAACUACGUG
This 484-nucleotide ribosomal RNA is filed under the name uncultured bacterium. RNAcentral's name for it is "partial 16S ribosomal RNA". It matches the Rfam family "Bacterial small subunit ribosomal RNA", at positions 28 to 507 of the family's 1533-position model. The record is from RNAcentral.